This 539-nucleotide ribosomal RNA is filed under the name uncultured bacterium. Its description in RNAcentral is "bacterial SSU rRNA". It matches the Rfam family "Bacterial small subunit ribosomal RNA", at positions 355 to 896 of the family's 1533-position model. The record is from RNAcentral.
UGAGGAAUAUUGGUCAAUGGUCGGAAGACUGAACCAGCCAUGCCGCGUGCAGGAAGAAUGCCUUAUGGGUUGUAAACUGCUUUUAUAUGGGAAGAAUAAGGUGUACGUGUACAUUGAUGACGGUACCAUAUGAAUAAGCAUCGGCUAACUCCGUGCCAGCAGCCGCGGUAAUACGGAGGAUGCGAGCGUUAUUCGGAAUCAUUGGGUUUAAAGGGUCUGUAGGCGGGCUAUUAAGUCAGAGGUGAAAGGUUUCAGCUUAACUGAGAAAUUGCCUUUGAUACUGGUAGUCUUGAAUAUCUGUGAAGUUCUUGGAAUGUGUAGUGUAGCGGUGAAAUGCUUAGAUAUUACACAGAACACCGAUUGCGAAGGCAGGGGACUAACAGACAAUUGACGCUGAGAGACGAAAGCGUGGGGAGCGAACAGGAUUAGAUACCCUGGUAGUCCACGCUGUAAACGAUGGAUACUAGCUGUUUGGCGCAAGCCGAGUGGCUAAGCGAAAGUGAUAAGUAUCCCACCUGGGGAGUACGCACGCAAGUGUG